RNAcentral lists this transfer RNA (63 nucleotides) under Parasitus wangdunqingi. RNAcentral's name for it is "tRNA-His". The record is from RNAcentral. Lineage: Eukaryota; Metazoa; Arthropoda; Arachnida; Mesostigmata; Parasitidae.
ACUCAAAUAGUUUAAUAAAAAUUAUAAAUUGUGGAUUUAUAGAUGUAAUAUUUACUUUGGGUA